This 229-nucleotide ribosomal RNA is filed under the name uncultured bacterium. RNAcentral describes it as "partial 16S ribosomal RNA". It matches the Rfam family "Bacterial small subunit ribosomal RNA", at positions 1272 to 1500 of the family's 1533-position model. The record is from RNAcentral.
ACCCCUAAAAGUCGUCCCAGUUCAGAUCGCAGUCUGCAACUCGACUGCGUGAAGUCGGAAUCGCUAGUAAUCGCGGAUCAGCAUGUCGCGGUGAAUACGUUCCCGGGUCUUGUACACACCGCCCGUCACACCAUGGGAGUCGGAAAUGCCCGAAGUCAGUGACCCAACCGUAAGGAGGGAGCUGCCGAAGGUGGAGCCGGUAACUGGGGUGAAGUCGUAACAAGGUAAC